AUCAUCAUGUGAUGAAUUUGGAAAAUCUUAGGACACCUUCCUACACAGCGUUCUUUAGCUGUGAAUGAGAAUGACAUUUCCAUUCUGAUGAUGUU
Small nucleolar RNA from Corylus avellana, 95 nucleotides. RefSeq annotates it as small nucleolar RNA snoR31/Z110/Z27. NCBI's taxonomy places the organism in Eukaryota, Viridiplantae, Streptophyta, Magnoliopsida, Fagales, Betulaceae. The record is from RefSeq and is a predicted model, not a curated record.